AGUGAACGCUGGCGGUAGCCCUAACACAUGCAAGUCGAACGGCAGCACAGUAAGAGCUUGCUCUUACGGGUGGCGAGUGGCGGACGGGUGAGGAAUACAUCGGAAUCUACUUUUUCGUGGGGGAUAACGUAGGGAAACUUACGCUAAUACCGCAUACGACCUACGGGUGAAAGCAGGGGAUCUUCGGACCUUGCGCGAUUGAAUGAGCCGAUGUCGGAUUAGCUAGUUGGCGGGGUAAAGGCCCACCAAGGCGACGAUCCGUAGCUGGUCUGAGAGGAUGAUCAGCCACACUGGAACUGAGACACGGUCCAGACUCCUACGGGAGGCAGCAGUGGGGAAUAUUGGACAAUGGGCGCAAGCCUUAUCCAGCCAUACCGCGUGGGUGAAGAAGGCCUUCGGGUUGUAAAGCCCUUUUGUUGGGAAAGAAAAGCAGCAGGUUAAUACCCCGCUGUUCUGACGGUACCCAAAGAAUAAGCACCGGCUAACUUCGUG
Molecule: ribosomal RNA, 492 nt
Filed under: uncultured bacterium
Lineage: Bacteria
Description: partial 16S ribosomal RNA
Rfam family: Bacterial small subunit ribosomal RNA
Source: RNAcentral